Long non-coding RNA from Mauremys mutica (yellowpond turtle), 1212 nucleotides. RefSeq lists it as uncharacterized. The transcript is spliced from 4 exons. The record is from RefSeq and is a predicted model, not a curated record. Lineage: Eukaryota; Metazoa; Chordata; Testudines; Geoemydidae.
AGGCACACGUAACAACUACAUUCAAACUAGAGCUGUAUGAAUUUGUUUGGACAGGGGACCACAAACAGGGGAGUUUGAGAUGGGGAGAAGGCAAUCCCCCUGCUGAAUGAACAAGGUGCAGGGCAAGUGGCAAAUAAGGAUUGAGUUCCUGUGGGCAGAAGAGAAUAAGGAGGGAGGACUUCAUAUGAACUCUAGAAGCCAUAGCUGCUGACAAAGUAAACAUGGUGGAGGAAGAGCAAAGAAGAGCAAAGCAUUUUCAGCAAUUGGUGAAUCGUUCUGAUAAAUUCAUGGAAAGAGUUAAUGGUUCAUUGUUCCAGACAAGCUGACUCUCCUGAGACCAGGUAAUUAAAACACUGUAGAAAUUUCCAAAGAGGAGAACCAGAUUGGGCCCCUCCUGGAGAGGAAGGAUGGAGAGGAGAGCUGAACAAGGGAGUUUAUACUCUGACUGGCCCUGCAGAGAAAGGGGAGCAGGAAGUUCUAGGAAGCUGCCAAAAAGGUGGAGGAACCACUGAAGAGAGGCCCUUCAGCAGCAGCCUGGUGAGAGGCUGCCUAAGAAGCUGGACCUCCAGGAGAAGAGGAUCAUAGGACCUGUGUGUUGUAUCAAUCAGGCAAGGCCUGUUCCAAAGCUCAGUGGAGUCUUUCCAUUGAUGUGAGUGGCACUGAAAUCAGCUGUAGCAUACACCAGUCAGUGACAAUUCAGGGUUAUGCAUAACUCUGAUCAUACUUACUUUUUUUGCCAUGAAAAUGUAAAAAGGAACUUUAAUGAAAAUUCAAGAAUUUUAAUGAAGGCACAACAUUUUUUCCUCCUCAAUUGCAAGGAGGAAAAAAAGUAAAAAUGGUUGGAGAAGAAGGGAAGAAAUGUGACUUCAGAAGAAAUCUCAACGUUUUAGAUGUUUGUUACUGGCCACAAUUUGUUGCUCACAUUCAUCUGUGAAAACAGUUAAUCUAUAAAUAUCACCUUUCUUUCCUGUGUUAAAGAAAAAAAAUUUCAAGGCAAAGCUGCAACAUGUUUUGCUUUUCUUUUAAACUAGUGAAAACAUGACAACAGAAAUCACAUUUUUUCCCCAAAUAAUUCUAGUUAUGCGUCCCUUUAAAGGUGUGAGGGGAGCCAGAGCAACUCUUUGCUAAAAUUUUCAUCCAAGUGCUUUCAUCCAAGAAGAAACUUUUGAACUGGAUAAGUUUUAAUGAUGUUCUAAAUUUACAACAGCUAUG